GACGAACGCUGGCGGCGCGCCUAACACAUGCAAGUCGAACGGAGCAUUGAGAGCUUGCUUUUAAUGCUUAGUGGCGAACGGGUGAGUAACGCGUGAGUAACCUGCCCUCGAGUGGGGGACAACAGUUGGAAACGACUGCUAAUACCGCAUAAGACCACGGGAUCGCAUGAUUCUGAGGUAAAAGGAUUUAUUCGCUUGAGGAUGGACUCGCGUCCAAUUAGCUAGUUGGUGAGGUAACGGCCCACCAAGGCGACGAUUGGUAGCCGGACUGAGAGGUUGAACGGCCACAUUGGGACUGAGACACGGCCCAGACUCCUACGGGAGGCAGCAGUGGGGGAUAUUGCACAAUGGGGGAAACCCUGAUGCAGCGACGCCGCGUGAAGGAAGAAGGCCUUCGGGUUGUAAACUUCUGUCGUACGGGACGAUAAUGACGGUACCGUACAAGAAAGCCACGGCUAACUACGUGCCAGCAGCCGCGGUAAAACGUAGGUGGCAAGCGUUGUCCGGAAUUACUGGGUGUAAAGGGAGCGCAGGCGGACUAGCAAGUUGGAAGUGAAAUCUAUGGGCUCAACCCAUAAAUUGCUUUCAAAACUGCCGGUCUUGAGUAGUGCAGAGGUAGGCGGAAUUCCCGGUGUAGCGGUGGAAUGCGUAGAUAUCGGGAGGAACACCAGUGGCGAAGGCGGCCUACUGGGCACCAACUGACGCUGAGGCUCGAAAGUAUGGGUAGCAAACAGGAUUAGAUACCCUGGUAGUCCAUACCGUAAACGAUGAUUACUAGGUGUUGGAGGAUUGACCCAUUCAGUGCCGCAGUUAACACAAUAAGUAAUCCACCUGGGGAGUACGGCCGCAAGGUUGAAACUCAAAGGAAUUGACGGGGGCCCGCACAAGCAGUGGAGUAUGUGGUUUAAUUCGACGCAACGCGAAGAACCUUACCAAGACUUGACAUAUACUAGAAAUCCUAAGAAAUUAGGACCCUCUUCGGAGCUGGUAAACAGGUGAUGCAUGGUUGUCGUCAGCUCGUGUCGUGAGAUGUUGGGUUAAGUCCCGCAACGAGCGCAACCCUCGUGAUUAGUUGCUACCAAGUAGAACUCUAAUCAGACUGCCGUAGUUAAUACGGAGGAAGGUGAGGAUGACGUCAAAUCAUCACGUCCCUUACGUCUUGGGCUACACACGUACUACAAUGGGUGUUACAGAGAGAAGCGAAUCCGCGAGGAGGAGCAAAUCUGAAAAAAGCAUCCCUAGUUCGGAUUGUAGGCUGCAACCCGCCUACAUGAAGCUGGAAUUGCUAGUAAUCACGGGUCAGCAUACCGUGGUGAAUACGUUCCCGGGCCUUGUACACACCGCCCGUCACACCAUGAGAGUUGAGAAUACCCGAAGUC
RNAcentral lists this ribosomal RNA (1379 nucleotides) under uncultured bacterium. Its description in RNAcentral is "16S ribosomal RNA". It matches the Rfam family "Bacterial small subunit ribosomal RNA". The record is from RNAcentral.